RNAcentral lists this ribosomal RNA (386 nucleotides) under uncultured bacterium. RNAcentral describes it as "bacterial SSU rRNA". It matches the Rfam family "Bacterial small subunit ribosomal RNA", at positions 29 to 390 of the family's 1533-position model. The record is from RNAcentral.
AACGAACGCUGGCGGCAUGCCUAACACAUGCAAGUCGAACGCUUCCGGGGGUUUCGGCCUCCGGGGGAGGUGGCGCACGGGUGAGUAACACGUAGGUAAUUUGCCUUUGGGUGGGGGAAGUAACUCAGGGAAACUUGAGCUAAUACCGCAUAAUGCAGCGGCUCGACAUCGAGACAGUUGUUAAAGCGGGGGAUUGGAGCAAUCCGACCUCGCGCCUAAAGAGAAGCCUGCGGCAGAUUAGCAGUUGGUAAGGUAAUGGCUUACCAAGGCGACGAUCUGUAACCGGCCUGAGAGGGCGGUCGGUCACACUGACACUGACAUACGGGUCAGACUCCUACGGGAGGCAGCAGUCGGGAAUUUUGGGCAAUGGGCGCAAGCCUGACCCA